CCUACGGGUGGCUGCAGUGGGGAAUAUUGCACAAUGGGCGCAAGCCUGAUGCAGCCACGCCGCGUGUGUGAAGAAGGCCUUCGGGUUGUAAAGCACUUUCAGCGGGGAGGAAGGCGGUGAGGUUAAUAACCUCAUCGAUUGACGUUACCCGCAGAAGAAGCACCGGCUAACUCCGUGCCAGCAGCCGCGGGAAUACGGAGGGUGCAAGCGUUAAUCGGAAUUACUGGGCGUAAAGCGCACGCAGGCGGUCUGUCAAGUCGGAUGUGAAAUCCCCGGGCUCAACCUGGGAACUGCAUUCGAAACUGGCAGGCUAGAGUCUUGUAGAGGGGGGUAGAAUUCCAGGUGUAGCGGUGAAAUGCGUAGAGAUCUGGAGGAAUACCGGUGGCGAAGGCGGCCCCCUGGACAAAGACUGACGCUCAGGUGCGAAAGCGUGGGGAGCAAACAGGAUUAGAUACCCGGGUAGUC
RNAcentral lists this ribosomal RNA (465 nucleotides) under uncultured Klebsiella sp. RNAcentral describes it as "bacterial SSU rRNA". It matches the Rfam family "Bacterial small subunit ribosomal RNA", at positions 338 to 795 of the family's 1533-position model. The record is from RNAcentral. Lineage: Bacteria; Pseudomonadati; Pseudomonadota; Gammaproteobacteria; Enterobacterales; Enterobacteriaceae.